This 415-nucleotide ribosomal RNA is filed under the name uncultured bacterium. Its description in RNAcentral is "bacterial SSU rRNA". It matches the Rfam family "Bacterial small subunit ribosomal RNA", at positions 355 to 787 of the family's 1533-position model. The record is from RNAcentral.
UGAGGAAUAUUGGGCAAUGGAGGGAACUCUGACCCAGCCAUGCCGCGUGAGUGAAGAAGGUUUUCGGAUUGUAAAGCUCUUUCGGGUGUGACGAUGAUGACGGUAACACCUAAAGAAGCCCCGGCUAACUUCGUGCCAGCAGCCGCGGUAAUACGAAGGGGGCAAGCGUUGUUCGGAAUUACUGGGCGUAAAGGGAGUGUAGGCGGUUUAGUAAGAUAGUGGUGAAAUGCCAGAGCUUAACUUUGGAAUUGCCAUUAUAACUAUUGAACUAGAAUUAUGGAGAGGAUAGCGGAAUACCCAGUGUAGAGGUGAAAUUCGUAGAUAUUGGGUAGAACACCAGUGGCGAAGGCGGCUAUCUGGCCAUAUAUUGACGCUGAGGCUCGAAAGCAUGGGGAUCAAACAGGAUUAGAUACCC